RNAcentral lists this ribosomal RNA (645 nucleotides) under Salmonella enterica. Its description in RNAcentral is "partial 23S ribosomal RNA". It matches the Rfam family "Bacterial large subunit ribosomal RNA", at positions 1 to 688 of the family's 2925-position model. RNAcentral also lists the same sequence under 3 other names. The record is from RNAcentral. Lineage: Bacteria; Pseudomonadati; Pseudomonadota; Gammaproteobacteria; Enterobacterales; Enterobacteriaceae.
GGUUAAGCGACUAAGCGUACACGGUGGAUGCCCUGGCAGUCAGAGGCGAUGAAGGGCGUGCUAAUCUGCGAUAAGCGCCGGUAAGGUGAUAUGAACCGUUAUAACCGGCGAUACCCGAAUGGGGAAACCCAGUGUGACUCGUCACACUAUCAUUAACUGAAUCCAUAGGUUAAUGAGGCGAACCGGGGGAACUGAAACAUCUAAGUACCCCGAGGAAAAGAAAUCAACCGAGAUUCCCCCAGUAGCGGCGAGCGAACGGGGAGGAGCCCAGAGCCUGAAUCAGCAUGUGUGUUAGUGGAAGCGUCUGGAAAGGCGCGCGAUACAGGGUGACAGCCCCGUACACAAAAGCGCAUGUGCUGUGAGCUCGAUGAGUAGGGCGGGACACGUGGUAUCCUGUCUGAAUAUGGGGGGACCAUCCUCCAAGGCUAAAUACUCCUGACUGACCGAUAGUGAACCAGUACCGUGAGGGAAAGGCGAAAAGAACCCCGGCGAGGGGAGUGAAAAAGAACCUGAAACCGUGUACGUACAAGCAGUGGGAGCACCCUUUGGGGUGUGACUGCGUACCUUUUGUAUAAUGGGUCAGCGACUUAUAUUCUGUAGCAAGGUUAACCGUAUAGGGGAGCCGGAGGGAAACCGAGUCUUAAC